This is a long non-coding RNA of Cheilinus undulatus (humphead wrasse), 244 nucleotides long. RefSeq lists it as uncharacterized. Lineage: Eukaryota; Metazoa; Chordata; Actinopteri; Labriformes; Labridae. The transcript has 3 exons. The record is from RefSeq and is a predicted model, not a curated record.
GCAGAGCCUACUUAAGCCACCUGUGGCAGGUUAGCUGCCUCUUUCUCCUUUGUCUUUGCCUGGUGGCUGCCACAUGGUCAGACCUGAGUUUCCUUCCUGGUUGUGCACUUUUACCUGGUCAUCUUGGUGUCCAUUGAAUCAAGUGGUGUUAAGCGGGAUCAGUGGACAGCUGGGUAAAUGUAGCUACUUGGGCAGGUAUGAGAAGCUGCAUAUUGUCAACAGGAAGUGUCUGAAAUAAUUACAU